Molecule: long non-coding RNA, 306 nt
Organism: Heterocephalus glaber (naked mole-rat)
Lineage: Eukaryota; Metazoa; Chordata; Mammalia; Rodentia; Bathyergidae
Source: RefSeq, a predicted model, not a curated record
CUUGAAAAUUGUAAGUUGUAGCAAAUACAGAGGACUCCUCAAGCUGAUCACGUCCCUUUCUUUGUCACGGAGAAAGGGCCGUCAAAUUACGAAUCCACCUUGGUGCAUCCACUGAUGAGGCCAGAGCCCUAAUGAUCCCCGUCAUUUCUCAGAGGCCUCACAUGUGAACACUGCUGCAUCGGGGACCAAGCCUUCAAUACAUGAACUUUGGGGGACACUCCAGACCCAAACUGUAACAGUUCCUCAGCUACUCUAUGCCUUAGUUUCUUCAUAUGAAAAAUGGGUUUAAUAAAACUUCCUUCCAUA